Micropterus dolomieu (smallmouth bass) is the source of this 4186-nucleotide long non-coding RNA. RefSeq lists it as uncharacterized. The record is from RefSeq and is a predicted model, not a curated record. The transcript is spliced from 4 exons. NCBI's taxonomy places the organism in Eukaryota, Metazoa, Chordata, Actinopteri, Centrarchiformes, Centrarchidae.
UCAGUUUGGCUAGUGCUAAGUAGGGAUGGGGAUCGAGACCCGAUUCCAAAAUUUCUCAAAACCCGAAAAUCAAUAAGGUCCGAGCUUCUCAAAACUGCUAUCGAGACUAGUGGGUCCUAUAAUGUAACGUUAUGUCUCGCAUCUAAUCUGAUUUAUCUUGAGACGCGAUGAAUGAGAAAAGUAAUGUUAAUGAUGGCACCGAAACAGGGUAUUGAUCAGGCCCAGGACUGUUUAUCAUCAGGCUGCAGCCUCUGCUGCUCUUUGUCGGCUUCUACACACACACACACACACACACACACACACACACACACACACACACACAGCGGCCAGCAGAGCGGGAUGCAGUGCUGUCAUGGUGGAGACAGUGAAGUUAAGUUCACUCCAAACUACUCGAGUUGUUGACACCUACGCUUGUUGGGCCUUUAACGUUACCUGCAGGCAGUGAAUAACAGCAGAGGGGAGGAGGAAUGAUACACUGACAGCCACACAGCUGCAGGAGCUGAUAUGUCACAUGAUGAUGGGGAGCCUGGUGAUGUUCAGGAAGGACUGUGCAUCCUCAGUGAGACACUCUCAGAGGACACCUGUCCUCAUGUCUUCCACCUGUGCUCGCGUCUUCCUCACGCGUCCAUAGUGUAGUCACUAGAGUGGGAGACCUUCGAGCACUACAGCACCUGGCAGCUGUUCUUGGCUCACAGCAUCCCCCUGGAGACCAUCAUCCCCAUCCUGCAGCACCUUAAAUAUAAAGGCUCAGUGAGAGUGAGUGAUGGUGAAGAUGGUCCAGAGUCGUCCCUUUGACCCUGAGGACCAGUUCACCACCAGCAUCCUGAGACCUCUGUCCAAUCACGACAACAUGGUGGGACAACACAUCAAGGCCCAGCUGAUCAAGAACAACAACCAGCCCCGCAAGAGACAGGGGUGAGGACAAAACGAGACAGGUGAAGACUGACGGAUGAGUACAAGGACUCCCAGAGCAAGCCUCCCAAGUCUCGCUGUAAGGCUCCGGCCGCCUCGCCUCUCUUCCGCCCAACAAGGAGGAGAGCGCCUCCAGUAGCGCAUCUGUACAUAGCCCCACCUCCACCUGCUCCUGUGAGGACGACCUGAAUCUGCGUCUCGUUCUUUGAUUGGUCUCUUUCAAAACCACACAGAAAUUUGAUAUUUAAUGUGUCUGAUUUGUGAAACCAGGAAGCAGCUUUGUGUCUUCACCAAAAAAGUGAAGUGGUUUGAAAAGUGAAGCCUCAAACCUGCAUUCUCUCUAACAGCUAGCAAUGGGGCGACUCCGCUGGUCUGAGGAAAAUGUGGCUACUUCUCAGCUGACUUUUUUUUUUUACCUCAGUAAACACUUUCCUAAUGAGUUUAUGGUCGCAGUCGCUAGUCUUCAACACAGCAUGAUGUUUUAGUAAAUUAUGGUCGCAUUUAGAGGAAAAUAGACCAGAAAGCAGGGGAGGCUGUAGGGCGGGGCUACCUUGUGAUUGACAAGUUGCUAUGUGUGACCCAAAUAUGGUACCCCAUGGAUGUUCAGUCUGUGUUCAGGACAGAGCUGAAUACCUCUGUUCUUUCAGCUGGACAGAUAGGCUGGAAUAAAAUACAGCCGCUCUUUCUAUAAAUUGAACUAAAAGAUGUUCUGUUAGCUUCCUGCUCAGCUUCCAGUCUGAAGGGGAGAUAUUUGUUAACCUGCUUCACUUCUCUAGCCAUUUGGGAACAGACUUUUGUUGGUCUGGAGAAGGUGAAGCAAUUACCUGACACACCAAAUACUACUGCCAGAAUAUAUUCCUCCUGAGAGUCACUUUUUGGUACUCGGACAAUCAAACACUCUGAGUCAGGUUCCGCUGGGUCUAAAAUUUCAAAAUCUAAGGCCUUAUAUUAAAUUCUCAAAUUCGCUGCCUUUUGUUUUCUAGGUCUUAAAUAAUUUUAAACAGGUAUUUAUUUACCUACGUCCAUGUAACGCUACCUCUAAUGCUCAACGAAAUGGCCCAGCAGUGCUCAAGGAUUUUUCCUAUUUUUCCUCCCGUGGUGUAGUCCUUUUUGUCGCUAGUCCAAAUUGAGGCUCAAAACAGCUUGGUGCUGCGCAAUGAAUGUAAAAUCAUUGUGGAGAGCAUCAAAACUAACCAAAUGAAUUUUCCCAGAUCUAAUGGUUAUAAUUCAACCCCAGUAGACUUAUUUAGCAAGUUUAACUUUUGGGGUGUAGUUUAUUCUUAAUCUGCUCAAGAUUUUCCUACUUAUUCACAGAUGUGUUAACAAUGUUCCAAAAUUAUGUGGAAUUGCAUAUUUCCUUAUUGGAAAACAUAAUUUUCUUGGGAGGACCCCCAAUCCCCCACACAAAUACCAUCUUAAUUUUUUUUUACAUUAUGCCGCUCUGUGUAAGCAGGUUUUAAUCCCAUGGACAUUAUUUCUAUUUGUAAAUGUACCUGCUUUGCACCUGCCUCGACUUCUCCCUGCACUCACUCACACACACCUUUUACCUCUGGGGUCUCACUGCAAACAUACCGGCUUUCCCUGCUUCUCUGUCUGCUCACCUGAAUUUCUCCAUCAGCAGUAAGUUAUGUUUUAACUCUUUUAUUUUGAGUUUCCAUUAGUAUUUGAAUCUAGCACAAUGUUUUACAUUUACACUUUGAGUAGAUUUCCCUCAGAGUAUAAGUUUGAGGUAAUCAGUUUCCACAAAUAUUUUGAGUAUACUGAAUGUAUUUGGGUUUACAGUGUGUGUGCUCAACAACUAACCUUACUGCAACUUUCUGAAAUCCUGUAGUUGGAACAUGACUUGCGUGAUAGAACAAAAGGAUUGCUGUGUCCAUGUUUGUUCAACAGAAUACGACUUUCAACAUUUUUGGCAUAGCAGUUGUAGAUCCAGUUAUGUUUAUGACAGUGGACAUUUUAAAUUGUGUCAGGAAAAGCACAGAAGCAACCAGUAACAUUGAUGAUUGCUCUGUUCCAUUUAAAGGAUAGGUUUACAAGACAAUCUUAAUAUUUAGCUACAUGCCCAUAUGUACAGGGGAAAAAUUAUUGGUCCUGUAAUAAUUCCUCCUGUCCAUACUGGAAGUGAAAAGAUCCCCACUUAUGUAAGUCCAAUGUAAGUAAUGGACAAAAGCAAAGUCACCCAAUUUUUAUCCCUUUCCUUUUCCUGCAGGCCUUGGAGCAGCGAACAGACCUGGGCUUUGGUCAUGACUGUGUGUUCAGCCUCUGGCUGCCAAGUGGGGACCACCGCUACUGCGUGAUCCUCCUACAGCUCCUCUGCAUGCUGCACUUCAGCUGUGCUAAUAACUUUGGCCCUAUCAGCGGCUAUGCAGUGGGACUGCUGCUGCAUGGGCUGAGCGGGGACCCACUGCCUGGGAUCUCUCCACUCCUGCUCUACCCGUGGCUGGAGGGAGGAGGGCGGAGUUAUCGCACAGUACUCUCCCUACAGGACUCUGGCCAUGCUUUCCUCUGUUACGUGUUAUUGCUUCCUGGCUGGUGGAGUGAGGCUUCUGUCACCAACUAGUUCCUCAAUCCUGGGAUUUACUUGGUGUUUUGAAGAGAGAAAAAAGGCACUUCAUAUAGGCACUCAUUUCAGCCUCCCUCUUCAACAAGCUGUAGAUGCUCCUGUCUCUUUAAGGCCCUCCCCUCCAAAGCCCACUGAUUGGUAGUCUGAUGUGUUUACCAGGUGCAGGGAUGGGGCAGCAUGUUCCUUUGGGGGCGUGGCCAGCAUUCUCUGCCUGGAGCAAAUGACCAUGUAUGGAAAUCCGGCUUGGAAUGACAUACUGAGCCCUUAGUAGAAAAAACUGUUUAAAACAGAGAAUUCAGAACAGGGGGAUAUUGGAGGUUUUGGCUCACAGGGAUUUCUUUUACCUGUUUAUUUGAAGCUUUGGCCAUGUUUAACAUGAACAUCUGACAUUGUAACAUUAUAGAUAUGCCAGAAAAUAUGAAAAAGUACAAUGGGUCCCCCCUGAUUGUUAAUCACAGACCUGAGUGAAAAAUAAAUAUGCUAAGUGUAUUAAAUUUUAGCAUACUUGAGUGUACUUGUAGUCAGACUAAUCAUCAGUAUAUUUCAAGUUUGUUAAUGAUUAGUUAACUUGAAGCAUGCUAUUUUGGAACAACUAAUUUUGUACUAAAUAUAUUUUAAUUGUAAUUAAAUUGUAGAAAAGCUCAAUUUCAAGUGUACUUUUAUGUGCUAAAGUGGAACAACUUCAAGUAUACUUAGUACACUUUAAGUAUA